GAUGAACGCUAGCUACAGGCUUAACACAUGCAAGUCGAGGGGUAACAAGAGGAAAGCUUGCUUUCUUUGUUGACGACCGGCGCACGGGUGAGUAACGAGUAUCCAACCUGCCUAUAACUAGGGAAUAACCUUGCGAAAGUAAGACUAAUACCCUAUGAUUUCCUUCGAUGACAUCAGAUUAGGAAUAAAGAUUUAUCGGUUAUAGAUGGGGAUGCGUCUGAUUAGCUUGUUGGCGGGAUAACGGCCCACCAAGGCAACGAUCAGUAGGGGUUCUGAGAGGAAGGUCCCCCACAUUGGAACUGAGACACGGUCCAAACUCCUACGGGAGGCAGCAGUGAGGAAUAUUGGUCAAUGGGCGGAAGCCUGAACCAGCCAAGUAGCGUGCAGGAUGACGGCCCUAUGGGUUGUAAACUGCUUUUAUACAGGAAUAAAGUUAGCCACGUGUGGUUAUUUGUAGGUACUGUAUGAAUAAGGACCGGCUAAUUCCGUGCCAGCAGCCGCCGUAA
This 506-nucleotide ribosomal RNA is filed under the name uncultured bacterium. RNAcentral's name for it is "partial 16S ribosomal RNA". It matches the Rfam family "Bacterial small subunit ribosomal RNA", at positions 28 to 523 of the family's 1533-position model. The record is from RNAcentral.